GUUUGCCAGAAAUCCACGGGUAAGCAGAUUUGCAUUGAUUCAGGUUAUACAAAUG
RNAcentral lists this non-coding RNA (55 nucleotides) under Citrobacter koseri ATCC BAA-895. RNAcentral describes it as "ES003 sRNA". It matches the Rfam family "ES003 sRNA". From Rfam's summary of the family: Differentially expressed under several chemical stress and fermentation conditions. The record is from Rfam by way of RNAcentral. Lineage: Bacteria; Pseudomonadati; Pseudomonadota; Gammaproteobacteria; Enterobacterales; Enterobacteriaceae.